AAUAUUGGACAAUGGGGGCAACCCUGAUCCAGCCAUGCCGCGUGUGUGAAGAAGGUCUUCGGAUUGUAAAGCACUUUAAGUGGGGAGGAAGGGCUUUAGGUUAAUACCCUGAAGUUCUGACGUCACCAACAGAACAAGCACCGGCUAACGCUGUGCCAGCAGCCGCGGUAAUACAGAGGGUGCAAGCGUUAACCGGAAUUACUGGGCGUAAAGCGCGCGUAGGUGGUUCAGUAAGAUGGGUGUGAAAUCCCCGGGCUUAACCUGGGAACUGCUUUCAUAACUGCUGAGCUGGAGUACGGUAGAGGGUAGUGGAAUUUCCUGUGUGGCGGUGAAAUGCGUAGAUAUAGGAAGGAACACCAGUGGCGAAGGCGACUACCUGGACUGAUACUGACACUGAGGUGCGAAAGCGUGGGGAGCAAACA
This 422-nucleotide ribosomal RNA is filed under the name uncultured bacterium. RNAcentral describes it as "partial 16S ribosomal RNA". It matches the Rfam family "Bacterial small subunit ribosomal RNA", at positions 360 to 774 of the family's 1533-position model. The record is from RNAcentral.